AGAGUUUGAUCCUGGCUCAGGAUGAACGCUGGCGGCGUGCCUAAUACAUGCAAGUCGAGCGAACGGACGAGAAGCUUGCUUCUCUGAUGUUAGCGGCGGACGGGUGAGUAACACGUGGAUAACCUACCUAUAAGACUGGGAUAACUUCGGGAAACCGGAGCUAAUACCGGAUAAUAUUUUGAACCGCAUGGUUCAAAAGUGAAAGACGGUCUUGCUGUCACUUAUAGAUGGAUCCGCGCUGCAUUAGCUAGUUGGUAAGGUAACGGCUUACCAAGGCAACGAUGCAUAGCCGACCUGAGAGGGUGAUCGGCCACACUGGAACUGAGACACGGUCCAGACUCCUACGGGAGGCAGCAGUAGGGAAUCUUCCGCAAUGGGCGAAAGCCUGACGGAGCAACGCCGCGUGAGUGAUGAAGGUCUUCGGAUCGUAAAACUCUGUUAUUAGGGAAGAACAUAUGUGUAAGUAACUGUGCGCAUCUUGACGGUACCUAAUCAGAAAGCCACGGCUAACUACGUGCCAGCAGCCGCGGUAAUACGUAGGUGGCAAGCGUUAUCCGGAAUUAUUGGGCGUAAAGCGCGCGUAGGCGGUUUUUUAAGUCUGAUGUGAAAGCCCACGGCUCAACCGUGGAGGGUCAUUGGAAACUGGAAAACUUGAGUGCAGAAGAGGAAAGUGGAAUUCCAUGUGUAGCGGUGAAAUGCGCAGAGAUAUGGAGGAACACCAGUGGCGAAGGCGACUUUCUGGUCUGUAACUGACGCUGAUGUGCGAAAGCGUGGGGAUCAAACAGGAUUAGAUACCCUGGUAGUCCACGCCGUAAACGAUGAGUGCUAAGUGUUAGGGGGUUUCCGCCCCUUAGUGCUGCAGCUAACGCAUUAAGCACUCCGCCUGGGGAGUACGACCGCAAGGUUGAAACUCAAAGGAAUUGACGGGGACCCGCACAAGCGGUGGAGCAUGUGGUUUAAUUCGAAGCAACGCGAAGAACCUUACCAAAUCUUGACAUCCUUUGACAACUCUAGAGAUAGAGCCUUCCCCUUCGGGGGACAAAGUGACAGGUGGUGCAUGGUUGUCGUCAGCUCGUGUCGUGAGAUGUUGGGUUAAGUCCCGCAACGAGCGCAACCCUUAAGCUUAGUUGCCAUCAUUAAGUUGGGCACUCUAAGUUGACUGCCGGUGACAAACCGGAGGAAGGUGGGGAUGACGUCAAAUCAUCAUGCCCCUUAUGAUUUGGGCUACACACGUGCUACAAUGGACAAUACAAAGGGCAGCGAAACCGCGAGGUCAAGCAAAUCCCAUAAAGUUGUUCUCAGUUCGGAUUGUAGUCUGCAACUCGACUACAUGAAGCUGGAAUCGCUAGUAAUCGUAGAUCAGCAUGCUACGGUGAAUACGUUCCCGGGUCUUGUACACACCGCCCGUCACACCACGAGAGUUUGUAACACCCGAAGCCGGUGGAGUAACCUUUUAGGAGCUAGCCGUCGAAGGUGGGACAAAUGAUUGGGGUGAAGUCGUAACAAGGUAGCCGUAUCGGAAGGUGCGGCUGGAUCACCU
RNAcentral lists this ribosomal RNA (1540 nucleotides) under Staphylococcus aureus. RNAcentral describes it as "16S ribosomal RNA". It matches the Rfam family "Bacterial small subunit ribosomal RNA". The record is from RNAcentral. Lineage: Bacteria; Bacillati; Bacillota; Bacilli; Caryophanales; Staphylococcaceae. RNAcentral also lists the same sequence under 1 other name.